UAAAAAUAAAUUUUUUUUAAAAAUAAAAAAAAGGGAAUAAAAGUAUUUUAAAUUAUGUUUAUAAAAUUAUUUACUUAAAUUAAUUAUUUAUUUAAAUAUUAUUUUUAAUAAAAAUUUAAUUAAUUUUAGUUAAUAAAAAUAAAAUAAUUUAUUUUAAUAUUUAAAAAUAAAUUUUUUUUAAAAAUAAAAAAAAGGGAAUAAAAGUAUUUUAAAUUAUGUUUAUAAAAUUAUUUACUUAAAUUAAUUAUUUAUUUAAAUAUUAUUUUUAAUAAAAAUUUAAUUAAUUUUAGUUAAUAAAAAUGUUUAUUUUUAUAUUAUAUAGAUUAUUGUUUAUUAAAUUUUUAUAAAUAAUUUUAUUUAUAUUAAAAAAUUUAGUUAAAUUAAAUUUUACAUAUAAAUAUUUUUAAGUAAAAAUUUAAUUUUUUAAAUAAAUAUUAUUUUUUAUUAUAAUUUAAUUUUAUGAGUAGUAAUUAAUAUUAUUAAUUUAAUUAAUGUUAAAUUGUAGUUAUUAUUUAAAAUUAAUGAUUAAAUUUGUGCCAGCAGUCGCGGUUAUACAAAUAUUAAAAUUAAAUUUUUUUAAUUAAAGUUAAAAUAAAAAUUUUUAAAAAUUAAAAAUAAAUUUUUAAGUGAAAUUUAAAUUUUAUUAAAAUUUUUUAAAUUAAAAAUUAAAAUUUUGAAGCUUAAAAAAUUUAAAUUUAAAACUAGGAUUAGAUACCCUAUUAUUUAAAUAAUUAAAAAAAAAUUUAGGUAGUAUUAAUUAAUUUUUUAAAACUUAAAAAAUUUGGCGGUAUUUUAUUCUGUUUAGAGGAAUUUGUUCUGUAAUCGAUAAUCCACGAAUAUUUUACUUUAUUUUGUUAUUUCAGUUUGUAUAUCGUUGUCAUAAGAAUAUUUUAAUAGAAUAAAAAAAUUUCAUGAAUUUUAAUAAAAAAAAAUGUCAAAUCAAGGUAUAGUUAAUGUUAAAGUAGAAAUGAGUUACAAUAAUUAUUAUUUAUAAUGAAUAAUUUAUUUAAAUAUAAAAUUUGAAGGUGGAUUUAAAAGUAAAUUAAUUAAUAAAAAUUAAUUGAUUAUAGUUUUAAAAUAUGCACAUAUCGCCCGUCACUCUCGUUAUUUAAAUUUUUAAAUGAGAUAAGUCGUAACAUAGUAGAUAUACUGGAAAGUGUAUCUAGAAAUACAAUUUAAAGCUUAAAAAGUAAAGCAUUUUAUUUACAUUAAAAAGAAAUACGUGCAAAUCGUUUUAAAUUGAGAAAUAAUAAAAUUAAUAAAAAUGUUUAAUUUUUGUAAUUUUAUUUAAUAAAAAUAUUUUUUUUUUGUUUAUGUAAUUAAAAUUGAAAAAAUAAUUAUUUAUUUAUAGUUUAUAGUAUUGAAAAAGAAAUUUGAAAUAAAUUGAAAAAUUAUUUUUUAAAAAGAAAAAUUUAUUUUUUGUUCCUUGGGUAUCAGGAUUAAUUAAAUUUUAAAUUUUUAAUUAAAAAUAAUUUAUAAUUUAAAAGAUUUAUAAAAUUUUAAUUUUUAUUAUGUAAAAAAUAUUAAUUAAAAUUUUAUUGAAAUGAAAUGUUAAUCGUUUUUAAAGUUAUAUAAUUAUUAAAGAAAUAAAUUUAAUUUAAAAAUAAGUUUUUAUUAUAAAUAUAAAUUUAAAAUGUUUAUAAUUAAUUUAUUUUAAUAUUUUAAGGGUUGAGCUUUAAAAUAUAAUUUUAUAAAUAAAAAUUAAAUAAUUUAAUAAAAAAUAAUCUUAAAAAUAGAUAUUUAUAAUUAAUUUGUUUUAAUUAAUUUUAAAUUAUAUUAAUUUAUUAUUUAAUAUUUUUUUUAUUUUAAGUAUUUAUUUAAUUAAUUAUUUUAAUAAUAAAAAUAAUUUAAUAAUAAUUAAAUUAGUAAUUUUUUUUUAUUAUUAUAUAAUAUAUAAUAAAAUAUUUUAAUUUUAUAAAUUAGGCAAUAUUAUUUUUAAUUGUUUAACAAAAACAUUGUUUUUUAAAAAUUUUAAAAAAUAAGACCUGCACACUGAAAAUUUUUAAAGAGCCGCGGUAAUUUAACCGUGCAAAGGUAGCAUAAUCAUUAGUUUUUUAAUUGAAGACUGGAAUGAAAGGUUUAAUAAAAAAUAAUCU
This 2096-nucleotide ribosomal RNA is filed under the name Diptera sp. 74 LC-2017. RNAcentral's name for it is "partial 16S ribosomal RNA". The stretch from base 1172 to 1243 matches the Rfam family "tRNA". The record is from RNAcentral. Lineage: Eukaryota; Metazoa; Arthropoda; Insecta; Diptera.